RNAcentral lists this ribosomal RNA (253 nucleotides) under uncultured bacterium. RNAcentral's name for it is "partial 16S ribosomal RNA". It matches the Rfam family "Bacterial small subunit ribosomal RNA", at positions 524 to 776 of the family's 1533-position model. The record is from RNAcentral.
UACAGAGGUCUCAAGCGUUGUUCGGAUUCAUUGGGCGUAAAGGGUGCGUAGGCGGCGCGGUAAGUCGGGUGUGAAAUCUCGGAGCUUAACUCCGAAACUGCAUUUGAUACUGGCGUGCUUGAGGACUGGAGAGGAGACUGGAAUUCAUGGUGUAGCAGUGAAAUGCGUAGAGAUCAUGAGGAAGACCAGUGGCGAAGGCGGGUCUCUGGACAGUUCCUGACGCUGAGGCACGAAGGCCAGGGGAGCAAACGGG